Molecule: long non-coding RNA, 1155 nt
Organism: Sarcophilus harrisii (Tasmanian devil)
Lineage: Eukaryota; Metazoa; Chordata; Mammalia; Dasyuromorphia; Dasyuridae
Exons: 2
Source: RefSeq, a predicted model, not a curated record
GGUCUGGGCUUACAUUAGGUGCAUUAUACAUGUUAGCUAUUAGAAUUCUGGGGUCUGGAUCUACGAUAGGUGUUCUAUAUAUCCUAACUACUAGAAUUUUGGCAUCUGGGCGUACAAUAGGUAUUGUAUAGAUGCUACCUACUAGAAUUCUGUGGUCUGGGCAUACAUUACAUGCUGUAAAGAUGCUACCUAUUAGAAUUUUGGUUUCUGGGCCUACGGUAGGUGCUUUAUCGAUGCUAGCUAUUUGACUUCUGGGGUCUGCGAAUACAUUAGGUGCUGUAUAGAUGCUAGCUAUUAGAAUUCUGGGGUCUGGGCCUACAAUAGAUGCUGUAUAGAUGCUACCAAUUAGAAUUCUGCGGUCUGUCCAUACAUUAGGUGCUGUAUAGAUGCUACCUAUUAGAAUUCUGUGGUCUGGGUAUACAUUAGGUGCUGUAUAGGUUACCUAUUAGAAUCCUUGCGUCUGGGCAUCCAUUAGGUGUUUUAUAGAUGCUAGCUAUUAGAAUUCUGGGGUCUAGGCCUACAAUAUGAGAGUAUAGGUGCUACCUACUUGAAUUCUGUGGUCUGGGCAUACAUUAGGUGGUAUAUAGAUGCUACCUAUUAGAAUUAAGGGGUCUGGGCUUACAUUAGGUGCUUUAUACAUGUUAGCUAUUAGAAUUCUGGGAUCUGGACCUACGAUACGUGCUCUAUAUAUCCUACCUACUAGAAUUUUGGGGUCUGGGCAUACAUUAGGUGCUGUAUAGAUGCUAACUAUUAGAAUUUUGUGUUCUGGGCAAACAUUAGGUGCUAUAUAGAUGCUACCUACUAGAAUUCUGGGGCCUGGGCAUACUUAGGUGCUGCAUAGAUGCUACCUACUAGAAUUCUGGGGUCUGGGCCUACAAUAGAUGCUGUAUAGAUGCUACCUACUAGAAUUCUGUUGUCUGGGUAUACAUUAGGUGUAGGAAAGGUGCUACCUAUUAGAAUUCUGGUGUCUGGGCAUGCAUUAGGUGCUGUAUAGAUGUUAGCCAAUAGAAUUCUGGGGUCUAGGCCUACGAUAUGUGCUGUAUAGGUGCUACCUACUUGAAUUCUGUGGUCUGGGCAUACAUUAGGUGGUAUAUAGAUGCUACCUAUUAGAAUUAAGGGGUCUGGGCUUACAUUAGGUGCAUUAUACAUGUUAGC